This is a non-coding RNA of Meleagris gallopavo (turkey), 2746 nucleotides long. NCBI's taxonomy places the organism in Eukaryota, Metazoa, Chordata, Aves, Galliformes, Phasianidae. The record is from RefSeq and is a predicted model, not a curated record.
GGAGCAGACUUUCCUUUCUUUUUCCAUCGCGGAGGGGUAUGUCUCGCAGCGCAGGACGGACACGGAGCAGCGGCGCGCAGGGUCCUUUUGGAGCCUACGGGACCCCGAGAAAAGCCGAAUUCCUUCUGGGAGGGCGGGGGGUAGGUGCUCAGUGAUGGAGAGAAGGAAGGCGGAGGGCGGGGAAGGCACAGAUCCGCACCGCCCUCCGCGGGGCCCCGCGCAGCGCUCGCCAGUAGCCGCCUCCGCUUCCCAGCGCGCCCCGAGCAGAGGCUCAAACUGAAAGUAAAUUAAAAAAAAAACAAAACGGAACAACCACACAAAACAAAGCAAACUCCAGCAAAGAUCCGCAACAAAACAGCCCCAACCCAACAGCACAGCGACGGGGUACCAGGCGGUAGUCCCUGUGAAGCAGAAUAAAGAUGGCAUGGGACAGUGCAGCAAAGGCUGAAGGCUUCAGACACAUUGGUCCUGCUGACGUCUCACUCUGACUACCUUUGGCAUCCUGUGGGCCUGACAGUGCAACAAUGGUCAGGAUGAGAAGGAAGAGGCUGUGGGCAUCUUGCAUCUGCUUCGCAGCUUUCUUUUUCCUUGUGGUACUGCUCCAGGUUAUCACUGAACUGGGCAAUUCAGAGAGUAAGACAGCAGCAGUCUUACACAGUGGCCCACUGAAGCCUGAUGAGAGACAUGCUUCCCAGCUUAAGAAGAAGGAACUUUACAGCAACUUCGGGAUGGAGCCUGAUACAGAUCACUACCCCAUCCUGCUCUGGUGGUCUCCUCUGACUGGAGAGACAGGGAGAUUGGGGCAGUGUGGUGAGGAUGUUUGUUUCUUUACUAUUAACAAGAGCUACCAGCACAGUCAGAUGACGAGAGCUUUUUUGUUCUAUGGUAAGGAGCUGUUUCUUUCUAAGGGAGAAACUUUCCCUCCUAUCAUUUUCUCUUAGACAUUAAAUAUUCUAGGUGGAAAUCGCCGAGGAGAAGAAAGUUUACACAGCUCACUUUGUUAAAUUUUGCCUGGUGCUGAAUCCAUUAUCAGAGGUCCAGAGACCUUUGCAAAAGUACUCAGAAAAGUGAUGAUCCACAGGAUGACUGUUCCCUUGUCUCAUGCUGCUUUCCAGUCACACAUGCUCCUUGUUUAUGGCAGAAAAGAUCAUUUCCUGUAGUUGCCAAGUCAUGAAAAGAGUCUGAGAUCAGGCUGUUUUUCCACUCUUCUAGCUUAUCACCUCCAGCAGAAGUUCUGCAAGGCCUUUGUUGCACUUGUGCAAGUCUUUUGUCUUAAGAUAAUGCCCUCGCUGGUAACUGUGCAACUGCCUUGCCUCAUGUGCCGAGAUUGCCAGCAGACUGUAAAAGGAAAGUACUGAAAGAAAUGUAUUGAUUCCACACAGGGAAUGGCAGCUAGACCAGCCUGCUGAGCUCUUCUGGCUCUGCUGCCUCACUACUUCUCACUACUUGUACUGUAACAACAAAACACAGAAGAGGUAUCUUUUGAAAUUAGUCUUUAUUUUCUUAUUUUUCCUCAUACUAUUGCAGAGAAAUAUAAUAACCUUAGGUGGAAAACUAACAACAAAUAAUUUUCUAUAAUUGGUAGAUUCAGCUCCUUUGUCUGGAAACAAAACAAAACAAGAGUCCUGAAUCUUCAUUCAUUAGUUCGGGACACAGGUGAGAUGGGAAUAGAGGGAAGGGGGGGCCUUUUAUGGAAUUGUUAACAGUAAACCCAGAAACUUCUCAUCAGUGAUCUUUUCAGAGCUUGAAGUAGGUCACCAUUGUCUGCUGAUAAAACAGUGGUCAGGCAUGAAAGCAAAUGAAUAACAGCAAGGGAAUGAGAAGCUGACCCAAUUAAAUACACGGAAAGCUAGGUCUGCAUCACAUGAAAGUUGUGAAGUCUGGUAUUUCUGGUCUCUGCCAGCGAUUUUGUUUGCCUACUUCAGCAGUAAAAUUACAAUUACUGUUCACUUAUAGCAGUGAUGAUUUAUUUUAACAGGACAUGAUUUACUUGCUGAUUUUUAAAAGAUUAUUUUUAUUGGACUAAAGACCUUUCUUGUAGUUUUUCUAAUGAUGCUCUCUUUGAACUGCAUAUAAAAGCGUCAACGUAUUCAGAAGUGCUACUUGAUUUUAGACUACAGUAAACACUCUCAAUGUGCCAGAAUCUGCAAAGAAAAGGUGUCGAAGGUGACAAAUAAUGCUGUGUCAACGCAGAAAAGCGUACCACCCCCCAUUCCUUAGAUGCAGUUAACUGUGGGCCUGCAAAAAGGGAGAUUUUGGCAUUCCAGAAUUUCCAACUGAACAGCCUACUGAGUGAAAGAAACCUUAAACAUCUGCAUGCCCAUGCUAAGAUUAGAUUAGGGCACAGCUUUACAUUCCAAAGAAGCUCAUUCAUUCCCUCCUAACAUUUGGUCAGUGAACUUGUCAAAAAAUGAAUGACAGAAUGAAAAGAACAUUAUGCAAAAUGGGGUUCAGAUGUUUUUUACCAGAACUGCACUGCUAGUAACAGCUGCUUUUCUGCAGCUUGUCUCUACUUACUGUCCUGGCCUGGGAAACCUGUGGGUGUGGACGAUGACUUUGUCAAAUCUCUCUUCUGGAAUCUGAGAUGUGACAAUCACUUGAUGGGUUUUAUCUUUAUUUUGGGGAGGGUUUCCAAACCCUACUUUUUCAACAUAGCAUACUCACAGAGUUUUGCUUGCACCAAUCACAGAAUCACAGAAUCACAGAAUUGUAGGGGUUGGAAGGGACCUCUAGAGAUCAUCGAGAC